GGUUACCUGCGAGACGAAUCUAAGUUCCCCCUUGACCUCUUUCCCCCAAGACAAACCCAACUUAAAUGUGAUAGUCAAGGACUAUUUAAAGGGGGUACAGCCCCUUUAAAAAAGGACACAACCUCCUUCAGCGGAUAGCCCCCAUACGCCCAACCCCGUGGGCCUUAAAGCAGCCACCCCUAAAGAUUGCGUCAAAGCUCCACCAACUAAAAACCCCAAAAACCAACGCGACUCCCUAUAUUCAUAGCAGGCUAACCUAUAACAAUAGAUGAAUCAAUGCUAGAACGAGUAACCAGGACACCACGUCCCCCCAAGCGCCAGCCUACACACCAUUAACAGCAAAACCUCAAUAACAACCACCACCCCACCAUUGAAUAUACCCUGUCAAUCCAACUCAGGGGCGCACACUGGAGUGAUUAAAAUCUACAAAAGGAACUCGGCAAGCCCAAGACCCGACUGUUUACCAAAAACAUAGCCUUCAGCCAAACAAGUAUUGAAGGUGAUGCCUGCCCAGUGACACCAUGUUUAACGGCCGCGGUAUCCUAACCGUGCAAAGGUAGCGCAAUCAAUUGUCCCAUAAAUCGAGACCUGUAUGAAUGGCUAAACGAGGUCUUAACUGUCUCCUGUAGACAAUCGGUGAAACUGAUCUCUCCGUACAAAAGCAGAGAUAAACACAUAAGACGAGAAGACCCUGUGGAACUUCAAAAUCAAUAGCCACCCCACCCAACUUAUAAGCCCACCCAGGCCCACCACCCAAGACAC
RNAcentral lists this ribosomal RNA (762 nucleotides) under Aratinga solstitialis (sun parakeet). RNAcentral describes it as "partial 16S ribosomal RNA". The stretch from base 414 to 667 matches the Rfam family "Archaeal large subunit ribosomal RNA", at positions 1787 to 2143 of the family's 2987-position model. Lineage: Eukaryota; Metazoa; Chordata; Aves; Psittaciformes; Psittacidae. The record is from RNAcentral.